ACUUCCAAAGUUAAUAACUUCUUGACAGUUCAACAUCAUUAAGUCAUUCCCCACUUCCAUCUUCCUUCUAAACCACCUUUUUAAUGAGAAAUUGAUUCCAAUAUACAUAAUACCCUCUCUGUAUAGAGAUCAAAAGCACAAGCACAGUUGCUUUCUCACUCCAUUUUUUCCCACAAAAUUCUUCCCUAAAUCUUUGUUAGCAAACAUUACAAAGGGCAUUCUUGUUUGUACAAAGGAAAGAAAAGAUGUCUGCUACUGUUAGUAGUGGGGUUCUGUUCCUCCUUAUAUUCUUUAUGUUAAUUACAAGUUAUGGAGCCUCCAAUUCCCAUGUAUAUGGGGCAGAGCCGGAGAUGGUACCAGUAAUUGAGGAGAAGAUGAUGGUGAUGUUAAAUGAGACAAGAAGGAAGCUUGGGAGCUUCAAGAUUUGUGCAAUCUGCACUUGUUGUGGUGGGGCUAAGGGCUAUUGUGUGCCUUCUCCUUGUUGCUAUGCUAUCAACUGCAAUAUACCACAUAGGCCUUUUGGUUUCUGUUCUUUCACUCCCAGAACUUGUAAUUGCUUUGGAUGUCAUCUCUAAAUCCAGCUUCAAAUUACUAAAUUAUUCUGUUUUGGCAUUUAUUCUGUUUGAUUAUAUUACUAGAUAUUUUGGCAUUUAUUCUGUUUGAUUGUCUAAAAGAAGAGGUUAUGUGUAGGUUUCAUUUUUUGAAUUGUAAUUUAAGGGAGAGCUACUUCCAGGUAAGUUUUUUUUCUGCUUGGUGGGAUUUGUCCCUUAUAAUUAGUGUUACAACUAUAAUUGUUUUUUUGUUAUCACUAGGCUAGACUACUAGUUUUACCUAGAGUAAAGUCAAGACAUUCUAUUAUAUAUAUAUAGUUGUGUGUGAGGGUUUUAUUGA
Long non-coding RNA from Nicotiana tabacum (common tobacco), 891 nucleotides. RefSeq lists it as uncharacterized. The record is from RefSeq and is a predicted model, not a curated record. NCBI's taxonomy places the organism in Eukaryota, Viridiplantae, Streptophyta, Magnoliopsida, Solanales, Solanaceae.